RNAcentral lists this ribosomal RNA (254 nucleotides) under uncultured bacterium. RNAcentral describes it as "partial 16S ribosomal RNA". It matches the Rfam family "Bacterial small subunit ribosomal RNA", at positions 524 to 776 of the family's 1533-position model. The record is from RNAcentral.
UACGGAGGGUGCAAGCGUUAAUCGGAAUUACUGGGCGUAAAGCGUGCGUAGGCGGUUCGUUAAGUCUGUUGUGAAAGCCCCGGGCUCAACCUGGGGAAUGGCAAUGGAUACUGGCGAGCUAGAGUGUGUCAGAGGAUGGUGGAAUUCCCGGUGUAGCGGUGAAAUGCGUAGAGAUCGGGAGGAACAUCAGUGGCGAAGGCGGCCAUCUGGGACAACACUGACGCUGAGGCACGAAAGCGUGGGGAGCAAACAGG